UCCGGGAUGCUAAGGCUGAGAACUGAUGACGAGUGUUCCUCGGAACAUGAAGUGCUUGAUGCCAUGCUUCCAAGAAAAGCCUCUAAGCUUCAGGUAAAAAGAGACCGUACUCCAAACCGACACAGGUGAUCAGGUAGAGAAUACCAAGGCGCUUGAGAGAACUCGGGUGAAGGAACUAGGCAAAAUGGCACCGUAACUUCGGGAGAAGGUGCACCGCUUUUGGUGAUGGGAUUUACUCCCUAAGCUGAGGGCGGUCGAAGAUACCAGGCCCCUGCAACUGUUUAUUAAAAACACAGCACUCUGCAAACACGUAAGUGGACGUAUAGGGUGUGACGCCUGCCCGGUGCCGGAAGGUUAAUUGAUGGGGUUAGCGCAAGCGAAGCUCUUGAUCGAAGCCCCGGUAAACGGCGGCCGUAACUAUAACGGUCCUAAGGUAGCGAAAUUCCUUGUCGGGUAAGUUCCGACCUGCACGAAUGGCGUAAUGAUGGGGGCGCUGUCUCCACCCGAGACUCAGUGAAAUUGAAAUCGCGGUUAAGAUGCCGUGUUCCCGCGGCUAGACGGAAAGACCCCGUGAACCUUUACUAUAGCUUUGCACUGAACUUUGAACCUAUCUGUGUAGGAUAGGUGGGAGGCUUUGAAGUUGGGACGCUAGUCCUAAUGGAGCCGUCCUUGAAAUACCACCCUGGUAUGUUUGAGGUUCUAACGUAGACCCCUAAUCGGGGUUGCGGACAGUGUAUGGUGGGUAGUUUGACUGGGGCGGUCUCCUCCCAAAGAGUAACGGAGGAGCACGAAGGUGUGCUAAUCAUGGUCGGAAAUCAUAAGGUUAGUGUAAAGGCAAAAGCACGCUUGACUGCGAGACAGACAUGUCGAGCAGGUACGAAAGUAGGUCUUAGUGAUCCGGUGGUUCUGUAUGGAAGGGCCAUCGCUCAACGGAUAAAAGGUACUCCGGGGAUAACAGGCUGAUACCGCCCAAGAGUUCACAUCGACGGCGGUGUUUGGCACCUCGAUGUCGGCUCAUCACAUCCUGGGGCUGAAGCCGGUCCCAAGGGUAUGGCUGUUCGCCAUUUAAAGUGGUACGCGAGCUGGGUUUAGAACGUCGUGAGACAGUUCGGUCCCUAUCUGCCGUGGGCGUUGGAGAUUUGAGAAGAGUUGUUCCUAGUACGAGAGGACCGGAGUGAACGAACCUCUGGUGUUCGGGUUGUCAUGCCAAUGGCACUGCCCGGUAGCUAUGUUCGUACGGGAUAACCGCUGAAAGCAUCUAAGCGGGAAGCCUCCUUCAAGAUGAGAUCUCCCUGGGACUUUAAGUCCCCUAAAGAGCCGUUGAAGACUACGACGUUGAUAGGUUGGGUGUGGAAGCGCAGCGAUGCGUUGAGCUAACCAAUACUAAUUGCUCGUGCGGCUUGACC
This 1406-nucleotide ribosomal RNA is filed under the name metagenome. RNAcentral's name for it is "bacterial LSU rRNA". It matches the Rfam family "Bacterial large subunit ribosomal RNA", at positions 1541 to 2925 of the family's 2925-position model. The record is from RNAcentral.